This is a non-coding RNA of Cinara cedri, 233 nucleotides long. The record is from the annotation of a GenBank genome assembly. Lineage: Eukaryota; Metazoa; Arthropoda; Insecta; Hemiptera; Aphididae.
AAAAUCAGCAUUUGUCACGCAAUGCUCGUAUCGCGAUAUUUUGAGUUCAGCAAUAACCGUGCAUGUGAAAUUAUUGUAUUUCAAUCGAUCUUGAAACGUCAAAGAUUUGGAUAUCCGGUUAGGUUUACCGCGCGCUCCGAACACACUAUUGUAUAUAUUAUUGAAAACUUUCCGCGGGUUAACGUCACAAUAAAUUGUGCUUCGAAAUAUAUUAUUGUCAACGGAAUUUUUUU